RNAcentral lists this transfer RNA (72 nucleotides) under Bos taurus (domestic cattle). It matches the Rfam family "tRNA". From Rfam's summary of the family: Transfer RNA (tRNA) molecules are approximately 80 nucleotides in length. Their secondary structure includes four short double-helical elements and three loops (D, anti-codon, and T loops). Lineage: Eukaryota; Metazoa; Chordata; Mammalia; Artiodactyla; Bovidae. The record is from Rfam by way of RNAcentral. RNAcentral also lists the same sequence under 4 other names.
UCCCUGAUAGCUUAGUUGGUAAAGAAUCUGCUUGCAAUGCAGGAGACCCUGGUUCGAUCCCUGGGUUGGGAA